This 292-nucleotide ribosomal RNA is filed under the name uncultured Fonticella sp. RNAcentral's name for it is "partial 16S ribosomal RNA". It matches the Rfam family "Bacterial small subunit ribosomal RNA", at positions 505 to 796 of the family's 1533-position model. The record is from RNAcentral. Lineage: Bacteria; Bacillati; Bacillota; Clostridia; Eubacteriales; Clostridiaceae.
GUGUCAGCCGCCGCGGUAAUACGUAGGUUGCGAGCGUUGUCCGGAAUUAUUGGGCGUAAAGGGUGCGUAGGCGGUUUUAUAAGUGGGAUGUGAAAUACCUAGGCUUAACUUAGGAAUGGCAUUCCAAACUGGAAGACUAGAGUGCGGGAGAGGAAAGUGGAAUUCCCAGUGUAGCGGUGAAAUGCGUAGAGAUUGGGAGGAACACCAGUGGCGAAGGCGACUUUCUGGACUGUAACUGACGCUGAGGUACGAAAGCGUGGGGAGCAAACAGGAUUAGAAACCCCAGUAGUCC